RNAcentral lists this ribosomal RNA (253 nucleotides) under uncultured bacterium. RNAcentral describes it as "partial 16S ribosomal RNA". It matches the Rfam family "Bacterial small subunit ribosomal RNA", at positions 524 to 776 of the family's 1533-position model. The record is from RNAcentral.
GACGAACCGAGCGAACGUUAUUCGGAAUCACUGGGCUUAAAGGGCGCGUAGGCGGACUGUCAAGUCAGGGGUGAAAGCCCGCGGCUCAACCGCGGAAGUGCCUUUGAUACUGGCGGUCUCGAGGGAGGUAGGGGCGUGCGGAACUUCCGGUGGAGCGGUGAAAUGCGUAGAUAUCGGAAGGAACACCGGUGGCGAAAGCGGCGCGCUGGACCUCUUCUGACGCUGAGGCGCGAAAGCCAGGGGAGCGAACGGG